GCAGACUAGCGGUUCCAGUUCACUUGAUUGUUGCAACCUAUAUAACUGUUGCAUACGCACUCAUUAACUGCAUAAGAAAUUAAAAACCUACCCAGUUGGUAAGCCAUUUGAUUCUCAUGUUGGAUUUUUUGGUUUAUCUCUCUAUCUUUCAAAGUUUUCUCCACAUAUAUGUUCUCGAAUGCAAAGAGUCAAUUCCUUCUCUCCUUCUUUAAUUUGGCAGAUGGGGUUUUCAAUUUGAUUCUCCACCCAAGACAGAGAGUCCAUGUGUAAAGAGAGAAGGCAAAGAGGGUCUGGCAUUUGGACGGCGACGAUUGAGUUGUUGCUGCUGCUCAAAAAAUGGAUUGCAACAUGGACAAUUAAGUUGCUGCUUGAGUAUCAUUAAAGUAAGAAAAUAGCGUUGCUAUAGCGUAAGAGGAGAGAAGAGAAACAGUUGAGUCAUCCUCUUCCUGUUUUAGAAUGUGGGGGACGGUUUUAGAUGGAGGAACCAAAGUUGUUCUGCAAUAUCUCAAGGACAAAUUGAAAUGACUAGAAGAUUAGAGACAUACACGAGGGAAAUUGCAAAAAAUUAUUGGUAGGUUCUUUUUGGUUAUAUAAUCUCUUACCUUUGAGAUUAAUCAGUUUUGGAUCAUUUUACUUCCAUUUCAAAAUGGCAGUUACUAAACACAAUAGGUUUCACUUUCACUACCAAUUCAUAUGUAGUUUGAUGUUUAACUCUUAUUUCCAGACUAAGGGUGUCAAAUUCUAAAUGAUGGAGAGAGUCACUAGGGUGCUAACAGGGCCGGUCCAGAGAUUUUUGAGGCCCGGGGCGACGUAAAAAAAAGUGCCCUAACUUCA
Non-coding RNA from Malus domestica (apple), 834 nucleotides. The record is from RefSeq and is a predicted model, not a curated record. NCBI's taxonomy places the organism in Eukaryota, Viridiplantae, Streptophyta, Magnoliopsida, Rosales, Rosaceae.